This 75-nucleotide transfer RNA is filed under the name Phytophthora infestans T30-4. It matches the Rfam family "tRNA". Rfam says of the family: Transfer RNA (tRNA) molecules are approximately 80 nucleotides in length. Their secondary structure includes four short double-helical elements and three loops (D, anti-codon, and T loops). The record is from Rfam by way of RNAcentral. Lineage: Eukaryota; Oomycota; Peronosporomycetes; Peronosporales; Peronosporaceae.
UUCUCGUUAGUAUAGGUGGUUAGUAUACCCCCCUCUUUCACCGGGGUGACCCGGGUUCAAUUCCCGGACGGGAAG